Molecule: ribosomal RNA, 301 nt
Filed under: uncultured bacterium
Lineage: Bacteria
Description: bacterial SSU rRNA
Rfam family: Bacterial small subunit ribosomal RNA
Source: RNAcentral
AUUAGAUGAGCCUGCGUAAGAUUAGCUAGUUGGUAAGGGUAAAGGCCUACCAAGGCGACGAUUCUUUAGCUGUUCUGAGAGGAUGAUCAGCCACACGUGGGACUGAGACACCGGCCCAGACUCCGUACGGGAGGCAGCAGGUGGGGAAUAUUGGACAAGUGGGGCAACCCUGAUCCAGCCAUGCCGCGUGUGUGAAGAAGGCCUUCGGGUUGUAAAGCACUUUCAGUGGGGAGGAAAGGUUGCAGGUUAAUACCCUGUAGCUGUGACGUUACCCACAGAAGAAGCACCGGCUAACUUCGUG